RNAcentral lists this ribosomal RNA (180 nucleotides) under uncultured bacterium. RNAcentral describes it as "partial 16S ribosomal RNA". It matches the Rfam family "Bacterial small subunit ribosomal RNA", at positions 355 to 526 of the family's 1533-position model. The record is from RNAcentral.
UGGGGAAUAUUGGACAAUGGGCGCAAGCCUGAUCCAGCCAUGCCGCGUGAGUGAAGAAGGCCUUCGGGUUGUAAAGCUCUUUCGGCGGGGAMGAAAAGGAUCCGUGUUAAUACCUCUGCUCCCUGACGGUACCCGCAGAAGAAGCACCGGCUAACUCCAUGCCAGCAGCCGCGGUAAUUA